This 170-nucleotide unclassified non-coding RNA is filed under the name Staphylococcus capitis. RNAcentral describes it as "T-box". Lineage: Bacteria; Bacillati; Bacillota; Bacilli; Caryophanales; Staphylococcaceae. The record is from RNAcentral.
AUAAAAAGACAGACGCGUAAGAAACACUAAACAUAUUCCAGCGAGUUAGGAAUGGUGAGAGCCUAACAUAUCGUUUGUUUCUUAUAUCACUGGCUUUUAUUUUAAUAUGUUUAUGAGAGAACUCUAAGUUGAGUUAAAUAGGGUGGUACCGCGGUUUAGCCGUCCCUUUU